Non-coding RNA from Russula emetica, 78 nucleotides. The record is from the annotation of a GenBank genome assembly. NCBI's taxonomy places the organism in Eukaryota, Fungi, Basidiomycota, Agaricomycetes, Russulales, Russulaceae.
UGCAGGAUAGCUCGGUGGUCAGAGCACCUGGUACAUAUUCAGGACUCGGAGGCAUGGGUUCGAACCUCAUCACGGUGU